Cygnus atratus (black swan) is the source of this 1382-nucleotide long non-coding RNA. RefSeq lists it as uncharacterized. Lineage: Eukaryota; Metazoa; Chordata; Aves; Anseriformes; Anatidae. The transcript is spliced from 4 exons. The record is from RefSeq and is a predicted model, not a curated record.
UUCAUUUUUUUUGACUGAGUGGCACUUCAGUGAUCCAUCAGGUUGACUGACAACACAGAUACCUACUGAAGACAAACUGGGUGUGAAAUCCUGCCUGGAGUCUUCCACAGCAUGAAAACAUCAUAGAUUCACAGAAUGACAGACAUACAGGCUUCAAAAGAGUUCUUGAGACAUCAACACACCCACUCUCCUCAGGAUAAUGUAAAAGGUUAUGUCACGCCUGACAGGCACAAACAUUCCACCUUUACCAGGAAGAUAUCAAAGGACAAGUGCCAACAAGGGAUUUCUUGAGACUACUCUCCAAAAUUCUCUUCUUGGAGAGGAAAAGGGGUACAGAUCUCUCUGCCUGCUUUUUAAAGCAUAAUAUUGAUACAGCAUGUAUUUAGCAUAUACCCUUGGAAUAUGCAGAUCACUGAGCAAGACUGAGAUUUCAUGUCAGCAACACCUUCUCCCAGAAACUAAAACUGUGCCACCUGUCAAGUCAAGUUAAUUAAAGAAGACACUCCAAUGUGGUGUCUACCACCCUUCUGCCAGAAGUUUUCCCCUCAACCCUUGAAGAAUCAGCAAAAAACAGAUCUGUCCUCACUCCUUUGAUGCCACGCUUCUCGGUAUUCAUUACAUUUUCAUCACUAUCAGGCUGAGACCCAUGGAGCAUUAAACAUUGGCACAUAUCUGCUUCUUCUCCCUCUGCAAAGGAAGGUAAAUUGGGGGAUCAUAAUUUCUUAAAUGAUGCUGGCAUGAUUUAUGAUACUUUGUCUGGAAGCCUCCUUAGUCACUCAUUUAAAACAAUGCAUCAUGCAGAGAUGUUACAACAUCCUUUCAAUUUUCAAAUGCAAUCAAACUGGGAUCUAGAUUAAAAAAAUGCUAAAACACAGUUAAUGCUGAGGAAAAAUGUCUCCUUGAAGGAAUUUCAGGACAUACUGCAACUUCUGUUCCAACGUGCUUAAAAGUUGGUGGCAUGCUUUUCAUUGAAUUUGUAUUGCCGUAAAGCACAAAUUCCUAGUAACAAUGCAUGCUGCUCACUCUAAAACAGACAUCUCUUUACAAACAAUUUUUUGAACACCUGCAUUGAAGGCAUCUUCAGCUUGAAAGAGCAAACCACUGACCUGGGUUGGUGCAGAAAAUUUGAAGGAUUUAUUAUACAAGCCUGCAUAGCAGCCUUAACUGAGUAGAUUUGCAAACUCUUUCUUCUGGAAGCCAAAACAAUUAAAUCUCAUAUGAUUAAAAUCUCUAUGGCCGAAAAUUACAGGUGUGGAACAUACCUUGUUCUUUGUUAUACAUCUGACAAAAAGCUUGCCAAUUUUAUGGCAGUGAUUCUUUCUUAUAGUUCUUCAUGCUGCUAAGUAAAAUCAAAGCAGUAAAGAUUUUCUCUGGCACCAGGA